CACCCUCACCCAGCCACUGCUCCUGGGCACAGAGCUGAAGGGGAACUGGAGGCUGCGGCGUUCCUCUCUCCGUCCCCCUCUCUCUGGUGACUCAUGUGAUAAGGAACCGACCUUUUGGAGACAUUCUGUGCCCUCAACAAAAACGGCCCCUGUCUGGAAACCCCCCCAAGGAGACUGACUUCCUCCCCUGCUGCCUGGGCUGCGGUAGCUCUUCUGGCACCUGCUCUUCCGGCACCUGCCCUGUGCUGGCCCCUCCUGCAACAAUCGGCCAGGGCUCUCGCUCCCAGCAGCCAACGGUACAGCCCGCCUCGGUCUCUGGGGUGCUAGAUACACUCUGCCUGGAGCCCAGGUACUGGAACCUCUGUGCCUGGGCCAUGGGGGGCAGGUUAAGGGAGGCCCUGCCCUGCCCCUCACCUGUCCCCUCAUCUGCACAUCCCUCCUUCGUGUCACCUGCACAGGAGCCCCCACCUCAGUCGGCGCUGCAGAACCAGCCCAGGAGAGCAGCUGGCCUGUCAUCUGCUGAGGAGCGGAGGCGUGCGGGGAUCCGGAGGGGAAGGGGGUCUGGAGUGCUCCCGGGGAGACCCUCAGGGACUGCCCUGCUGCUGGCAGCGCCUGGGCCCAGGGCUGAUGGAGGCGUCUCCUGGCCUCCAGGGCUGUGCCCAGGACUGCAAUGGCCUCCCACACUACCUCACUACCCUGGUCCAGGCUCACUGACAGAUGAGGAAACUGAGGCAGG
This 736-nucleotide long non-coding RNA is filed under the name Pan troglodytes (chimpanzee). Its description in RNAcentral is "long non-coding RNA NONPTRT009508". Lineage: Eukaryota; Metazoa; Chordata; Mammalia; Primates; Hominidae. The record is from RNAcentral.